AGUGAAUGGUUCUUCUUUGCAAAGUUGUACAUCCCACAGCAAUACAGAGGUCAUCUUCAUGCAUUUGUAAUUCAGGAUCAGAGACAGUGGGUAGUUCUUAAACCUGGAGAAGAAAAGGACUAUCAUGCUCUGGAUGCUUACAGUAAUGAUGAUGGGGAUUACUUUAUCUCAUUUCAUCAUGUAUUACACAGUUCAAGAUCAGCAAAUUGAUGGGGAGACACUUUUGGGCCUCACAGAGAGGAUGAUUGAGAGACUUUUCCCUGUGAUGAAGCGCCAGGUCAAAUUUAUGAAAGAGUUAGAAACAUUAAAAAGCUGUACAACUCACUUAAGUAACACCCUAAUGAGUGGCAAGAGCCACACCACUGCAGAGUGCUGCAGCAAAGCCUGGCCAAACAGAUACAACCUGCCAACCUUCCCUCCUGCAAUAGAAGAACCACUGAUCAGAAAGGACAUGGCAUUUAAAAAAAAAAAAGACAAAUGCCAUCUUAGGUCUGUAAUGAUCCAAGUACUUUUUGACAACCUUACAAAAUACACAUGGACACCUUGCUUGAAUGCCUGAGAAAUAAAUUUAAAAAGGAGAGACAACCACUGAUUUCUGUAAAUAUAAUCAAGGAAAUGAAAAACAUAUGGUAUGAAAGGAGGAAAAAGAAGUCUUGAAACUGGACCAAACACAGCAGCAAAGAAGACAAGACAACAGGUGACUUAAAUGCAAAGGCUUAAAUGCAAAUGACCAAAUGCAACAAUAAACU
Molecule: long non-coding RNA, 749 nt
Organism: Acipenser ruthenus (sterlet)
Lineage: Eukaryota; Metazoa; Chordata; Actinopteri; Acipenseriformes; Acipenseridae
Exons: 4
Source: RefSeq, a predicted model, not a curated record